This 229-nucleotide ribosomal RNA is filed under the name uncultured bacterium. RNAcentral's name for it is "partial 16S ribosomal RNA". It matches the Rfam family "Bacterial small subunit ribosomal RNA", at positions 568 to 796 of the family's 1533-position model. The record is from RNAcentral.
CGUGUAGGCGGUAUUGUAAGUCAGAUGUAAAAGGCUACGGCUUAACCGUAGAUUGUCAUUUGAAACUACAGUACUUGAGUGUGAGAGAGGGUAGUGGAAUUCCCAGUGUAGCGGUGAAAUGCGUAGAUAUUGGGAAGAACACCAGUAGCGAAGGCGGCUACCUGGCUCGUAACUGACGCUAAUGCGCGAAAGCGUGGGGAGCGAACAGGAUUAGAUACCCUGGUAGUCC